Molecule: transfer RNA, 65 nt
Filed under: Dipodomys ordii (Ord's kangaroo rat)
Lineage: Eukaryota; Metazoa; Chordata; Mammalia; Rodentia; Heteromyidae
Rfam family: tRNA
About the family: Transfer RNA (tRNA) molecules are approximately 80 nucleotides in length. Their secondary structure includes four short double-helical elements and three loops (D, anti-codon, and T loops).
Source: Rfam by way of RNAcentral
GGUGGCUUAGUGGUAAAGCACUUGCCUUGCAUGCAUGAGGCCCUGGGUUCGAUUCCUCAGCACCA